CUGCCUGCCUCCCUCAAAGCUGGUCUCACAGGCAGGGAUGGGUCCAUUCAGGAGCAGGCUGGCCCACAUCGCCACCCUCCAGGUCUCCCCUUUCAAACUACAAGGAACCACUGAAGGCGAGUCUGGGAAAGUGCUUUGUGUGGCAGCAGCAGAGUCCUGCAGCUGCUGGCUUCAUUCCUUCGCAUAAGAGCAGUGGGGGCUCAAACCAAGAACUCCAACCUGUCCCUCACAUGCCUCUGGUACAGAACAGCCCCCGCUGGCCCUCUCGCUGAGCCCAGAGAGGAGGAAACACGGUGCCUACAUACUCCCGCACGCUUGUAUUACAGGACAGGGAGAACAGAAGCUCCAGUCCAGUUAGUAUUCAAUACAUUUCUAUCACACCCCCUGCUAUUUGACUCCUAAGGCUCAGCAUUAGAACCCAGGAUGAGAGCCCAGAAGACAACUAUCCCUGCCCGGCAAGAACCCCACCCCCAAAAGAAGGAAACCAGCCAAAGAGUCCACUUGGGCAGGCAGGUUAUUGAGGUCUAUAUUGUUCAGCUUACGAGGAAACACGGCCACGAACAGAACAGUCCAAGUAUCUGAAGACAGCUGCAUCCCAGCAACAGAUUAAAUAAUUUGGCAACUAACA
Molecule: long non-coding RNA, 628 nt
Organism: Dermochelys coriacea (leatherback sea turtle)
Lineage: Eukaryota; Metazoa; Chordata; Testudines; Dermochelyidae
Exons: 3
Source: RefSeq, a predicted model, not a curated record